GACGAACGCUGGCGGCGUGCUUAACACAUGCAAGUCGAACGGAAAGGCCCGGCUUUUGUGGGGUGCUCGAGUUGCGAACGGGUGAGUAACACGUGAGUAACCUGCCCUUGACUUUGGGAUAACUUCAGGAAACUGGGGCUAAUAGCGGAUAGGAGCUCUUGCUGCUUGGUGGGGGUUGGAAAGUUUCGGCGGUUGGGGAUGGACUCGCGGCUUAUCAGCUUGUUGGUUGGGUAGUGUCUUACCAAGGAUUUGAAGGGUAGGCGGCCUGAGAGGGUGACCGGCCACACUGGGACUGAGAUACGGACCAGACUCAUACGGGCGGCAGGAGGGGGGAAUAAUGAACAGUGGGCGGAAGACUGAUGCAGCCACGCCGCGUGCGGGAGGAAGGCAUUCGGGUGGAAAACCGAUUUCGCCUGUGACGGAGCGUGAGUGAAGGUAAUGGGUAAAGAAGCACCGGCUAACUACGU
This 467-nucleotide ribosomal RNA is filed under the name uncultured bacterium. RNAcentral's name for it is "partial 16S ribosomal RNA". It matches the Rfam family "Bacterial small subunit ribosomal RNA", at positions 28 to 506 of the family's 1533-position model. The record is from RNAcentral.